RNAcentral lists this ribosomal RNA (253 nucleotides) under uncultured bacterium. Its description in RNAcentral is "partial 16S ribosomal RNA". It matches the Rfam family "Bacterial small subunit ribosomal RNA", at positions 524 to 776 of the family's 1533-position model. The record is from RNAcentral.
UACGUAGGGGGCAAGCGUUGUCCGGAUUUAUUGGGCGUAAAGAGCGUGUAGGCGGCCUGAAAGGUCAGCUGUGAAAACUCGAGGCUCAACCUCGAGACGUCGGUUGAAACCAUCUGGCUAGAGUCCGGAAGAGGAGUGUGGAAUUCCCGGUGUAGCGGUGAAAUGCGCAGAUAUCGGGAAGAACACCCGUGGCGAAGGCGGCACUCUGGGACGGUACUGACGCUGAGACGCGAAAGCGUGGGGAGCUAACAGG